GACGAAGGUGGCAAGCGUUAUUCGGAUUUACUGGGCAUAAAGCGCGCGUAGGCGGCUUGGCAAGUCGGGGGUGAAAGCCCGCAGCUCAACUGCGGAACUGCCUUCGAUACUGCCGGGCUUGAGGGCGGGAGGGGUGAUUGGAACUCCAGGUGUAGCGGUGAAAUGCGUAGAUAUCUGAGGAACACCGGAGGCGAAGGCGAAUCACUGGACCGCUUCUGACGCUGAGGCGCGAAAGCUAGGGGAGCGAACAGG
Molecule: ribosomal RNA, 252 nt
Filed under: uncultured bacterium
Lineage: Bacteria
Description: partial 16S ribosomal RNA
Rfam family: Bacterial small subunit ribosomal RNA
Source: RNAcentral